UGGGGCUUUAGGACGGACUCCAAAGUUGAUUGUUGAAUCUCAGUAUGUAUGGCCAAGGCUCACUCAUUCAACCCGCGAGAAAAGCGAGUCUUGAACGAAGGAAGAAUAGUUGCAGGAUCCUGGGUUCGGUAUGAUCGUUCUUCCAAUUCAUACUAGCUACGAUCUUUCCCUCCUUAGAGGAUCCAGCAGUAAGGGACCUACCUAUGGCCAGUAAAGAACCCACCUAUGGUUGUCUCCUCGGACAGCUUUCAGAGCUUCUGCUUCACCGGUGUAACACAAGUGGUUCUUGGGCUUUAACUAACUAAGUGCUGGCAGUGAUUUUAGGUUGGUUUCAUGGUUUCUUCAUUCUUGUAGCCUGUGUUGCAUGUGUUUGCAGUAGCUUUGCAGAUUCAGGACUAUUGGCAACAGCCGUUGACCGUCUAUCUUCUUCCCAGUUCCCAGAUACAAGAUUCUAGGCUUUGAGCAAUGCAAAAUGCUUGAUAGCCAGGAAGGCAUUUCACUGGGGUUCCUUUGGUGGAACUAAUUCUUUCUCUAUUUUCUUCAUAUCAUAAUUGAAUUGAUACCUGAAUUCAAAGAAGAAAUCAAGAGACAACGUUCCUGUUCCAGUUGGGGUCCAGACGGCUUUCAUACACACGGAUCUUUCCUUUCUUUUGGUCAUGCGCAGGAUUCAACUCAACUGAAUACAUUACAUAACAUAUUUUUGAUAGAACGAUUCUUCUUGUCCGCAAGGGCAAUAACGUUCUAAAGAUGGGUACGAUCGGUUGCACAACCAUAACUCAAAAUGGAGUAUUUCUUGACUACUUAUACAACUCUUUGGGGUCCAAAGAUACUCUAAAAUACUCAUCAGGUUCGAUACGAUAUUAAUAGUGCUUAGCACUAACUUCCUUCGACCGGACACCACC
This 902-nucleotide long non-coding RNA is filed under the name Hordeum vulgare. RNAcentral describes it as "long non-coding RNA (HVUL_LNC021577)". Lineage: Eukaryota; Viridiplantae; Streptophyta; Magnoliopsida; Poales; Poaceae. The record is from RNAcentral.